RNAcentral lists this unclassified non-coding RNA (323 nucleotides) under soil metagenome. RNAcentral describes it as "partial contains 5.8S ribosomal RNA, internal transcribed spacer 2, and large subunit ribosomal RNA". The stretch from base 1 to 120 matches the Rfam family "5.8S ribosomal RNA", at positions 35 to 154 of the family's 154-position model. The record is from RNAcentral.
GAUGAAGAACGCAGCGAAAUGUGAUAAGUAGUGUGAAUUGCAGAAUUCAGUGAAUCAUCGAAUCUUUGAACGCACAUUGCGCCCCUUGGUAUUCCAUGGGGCAUGCCUGUUCGAGCGUCAUUUGUACCUUCAAGCUUUGCUUGGUGUUGGGUGUUUGUCCUGAGGGACUCGCCUUAAAGUAAUUGGCAGCCAGUGUUUGGUUUUGAAGCGCAGCACAAGUCGCGAUUCAAAGCUAUACGCCCGCUUCCACAAGCCUUUUUCACUUUUGACCUCGGAUCAGGAAGGGAUACCCGCUGAACUUAAGCAUAUCAAUAAGCGGAGGA